UACGAAGGGUGCAAGCGUUGCUCGGAAUCAUUGGGCGUAAAGCGCACGUAGGCGGCUUCAACAGUCGGAUGUGAAAUCCCGUGGCUCAACCAUGGACGUGCAUUCGAAACUGCGAAGCUUGAGUAUGGAAGAGGGUCGCGGAAUUCCCGGUGUAGAGGUGAAAUUCGUAGAUAUCGGGAGGAACACCAGUGGCGAAGGCGGCGACCUGGGCCAAUACUGACGCUGAGGUGCGAAAGCGUGGGGAGCAAACAGG
Molecule: ribosomal RNA, 253 nt
Filed under: uncultured bacterium
Lineage: Bacteria
Description: partial 16S ribosomal RNA
Rfam family: Bacterial small subunit ribosomal RNA
Source: RNAcentral